CAGUCGCCGCGGUAAUUCGUAGGUGGCAAGCGUUGUCCGGAGUUAUUGGGCGUAAAGGGCUCGCAGGCGGUUUCUUAAGUCUGAUGUGAAAGCCCCCGGCUCAACCGGGGAGGGUCAUUGGAAACUGGGAAACUUGAGUGCAGAAGAGGAGAGUGGAAUUCCACGUGUAGCGGUGAAAUGCGUAGAGAUGUGGAGGAACACCAGUGGCGAAGGCGACUCUCUGGUCUGUAACUGACGCUGAGGAGCGAAAGCGUGAGGAGCGAACAGGAUUAGAUACCCGUGUAGUCCCUGUCUCUUAUAC
RNAcentral lists this ribosomal RNA (301 nucleotides) under uncultured bacterium. RNAcentral describes it as "partial 16S ribosomal RNA". It matches the Rfam family "Bacterial small subunit ribosomal RNA", at positions 509 to 807 of the family's 1533-position model. The record is from RNAcentral.